AUAAGUUGAUUAAUAUAAAUUGUGGGUUGUAGUACCUGAGGGGUUAUUUGUUACCUUAUUUAAUUAUAAUUUGGCUUUGGUUAUAAUAUAAGCUAUAUACUAAAUUUAUAUAUGCUAGAUUUGUUGGAUAAUCGUUUUGUUUGUGUACAUUGUUAUUUAUAUAGAUUUAAUAUUUUUUAAGUAACGAUUUAUGUUGUUAAUAUUUUAUUAGGAUGAUGAGAGUAAACUACGCAGUAUUUAUAUUUAUACAAUGGAUGAGAGUUUGAUAUAGUUAGUGUUUUAAAAGGUGGUUAAAUUGGUGCCAGCAGCUGCGGUUACACCAAUACCUUAGGUUUAUAUUUAUAUAGUAUAAAAUAAAGUAAUAUUCUAGGCUGAUUAGGGCUAAUGAGGAUAACAAGAGUAGGUAAAAUUUAAUUGUUGUUAUUAAUUAUAUAGUUCUAUGAAGAAAUUCUUUGAAAAUAAGGUUUAAGAAAACUAGGAUUAGAGACCCUAUUAUUCUUUAUUUUAAAAAUUUUAUUACUUAAGUAGUAUAAAUGUGAACAGUGUAUGUAUAGUUUUUCGAUUGUUUGAAACUUAAAAGGCUUGGCGGUGUUAUAUAUCCUACCAGGGGAGCUUGCUUAUUAAUUUGAUAAUCCCCAAUUUAUACUUACUUUUUUUUGAAUUAUAACAGUUUGUGUAUUGCUGUCGUCAGUUUAUUUUGUAAAAAUUUAGGAAAAAACUAAAUAAUUUUAUGGUUGUGAUGUCAAGUCAAAAUGCAGUUUAUGAAAAAGGUUUAAAGUGAGCUACAAUUUAUAUUUUUUAAUCGGACUAAAAAGUGUAAUUUUUUUAUGAAGGUGGACUUGGUAGUAAUAAGAGUUUUAAAUAGUGAGUUCUUAUGAAUUGGGUUUUAUAAUGCGUACAUAUCGCCCGUCGCUCUUGUUGGAAAAUAAGAUAAGUCGUAACAUAGUAGGGGUAGUGGAAGCUGCUCCUGGAGUGAUAA
RNAcentral lists this non-coding RNA (979 nucleotides) under Dosidicus gigas (jumbo flying squid). Its description in RNAcentral is "12S ribosomal RNA". The stretch from base 549 to 970 matches the Rfam family "Microsporidia small subunit ribosomal RNA", at positions 752 to 1303 of the family's 1311-position model. The record is from RNAcentral. Lineage: Eukaryota; Metazoa; Mollusca; Cephalopoda; Oegopsida; Ommastrephidae.